AAUAAAAUGGCUGAGGUUAAAAGCGAUAAAUUGUAAAUUUAUUAACAAGAAAAAAAUUCUUUUUUAUUA
RNAcentral lists this transfer RNA (69 nucleotides) under Prophantis octoguttalis. Its description in RNAcentral is "tRNA-Tyr". It matches the Rfam family "tRNA". From Rfam's summary of the family: Transfer RNA (tRNA) molecules are approximately 80 nucleotides in length. Their secondary structure includes four short double-helical elements and three loops (D, anti-codon, and T loops). Lineage: Eukaryota; Metazoa; Arthropoda; Insecta; Lepidoptera; Crambidae. The record is from RNAcentral.